RNAcentral lists this unclassified non-coding RNA (138 nucleotides) under plant metagenome. Its description in RNAcentral is "partial contains 5.8S ribosomal RNA, internal transcribed spacer 2, and large subunit ribosomal RNA". The record is from RNAcentral.
GGGCAUGAACCGUCGAGGUAGCCGACGCUCGGAUUUCAACGCUCAGGUGUCAGGUGUUGGUAACAAGUCAAGAUGUCCGGUUUAAUUAGCAAGUGAAAUGUCCGGUCUUGCCAGCACCUUCGUUUAGGACUACGCUUC